This is a long non-coding RNA of Micropterus salmoides (largemouth bass), 1143 nucleotides long. RefSeq lists it as uncharacterized. The record is from RefSeq and is a predicted model, not a curated record. The transcript is spliced from 2 exons. Lineage: Eukaryota; Metazoa; Chordata; Actinopteri; Centrarchiformes; Centrarchidae.
UACAUAAUUUUACCGUAUUAUAAUCAUGCAUUUUGCUACAUCUUGGAAGGGUUGGCUCAUACAAACUGUAUUGUAUGAAACAUAGGGCUACUAAAACCAUGUGUUGUUUAGAGGUCUGUGUAGGAGCCAUUUAUGUUUAUUGUUGGUAUGAUAUUUUAUUUUUGUUUAGAUUUAUUUAUAUUAGUAUUUUGGACACUGGGUGGCAGUGAUUAGAUGCACAUGGGUGUAUAUAGAGGGCAUAGGUGACAGGAAGUGGGAGGCACAGGUAGGGGGAGCACAAACAGUUCUCACCAGACCACAAACCUCAACUGCAAUAAUCUCUCUGGAAAAUCAUCUUGUGUGUCUGCGUAAAAAACUUCACUCCUGCCUGUGCACGAUGGCAAAGAGAUUGGUAAAAGUAAAGCGAGGAAAAAUUGCCAUAACAGUGUAGUUCCAUGUUGUCCCACCAGAGAGCGCAAUACACUCCAGCGUUACGAACAGACUGUAUGAGGAUUAGUAGAGAGUGCCACGUGUUGUCCUCUCAUCCCUUGCAGAUCUCUUCCCGAAACGUCCUGGAAACGUGUGUAAACGCAACAUAAUGGUGUGAAACUUUGAUUAUAUCCACGUACCUACACUGAUAAGCUCCUUCAUUAGUAGAGCAUCAGCUGUGAGCACGAGAGGAGCAGCCUGUGUCGGGUUGUUGUUGCCGUUUGAAACUCCGUUGCCAUUACAUGUGGUUAUUUUGACUACCACGAGAGAAAUAGACGAAUCCGAGAUGGCGAGCCCAGCCCAAAGAGACGGUGGAUGGUUGUGAAAACGGUGUGGCCAACCGAGGGACCAGCCACCGAGGACGUCGGACUAACUUCGUUCAGACAGGAUACAGAUAAGAACACAUUCAUGCUAUUAACUCUACCGGGGUGGUAGUAGUAGACUUUAUACACACACACACACACACACACACAAAAGGACCAGGAACUGAACUCUGAACUCAGUUUCAAACUCCUCAAUUUAUAGGAGCAUUGAGCUGAAGUGUCAGCUCACACAGACAUUUUCUUUUAUUACUGAAACAGCUGAAUUUUUUUGUUUUAUUUUCAUUCUUAGUACAUUACAGCGCUGUGUUUAUUGUUUUCCUGAGGCAAUAAAACUGUCGACUAUUCAACUCGA